CGCGAUUGGAUGAACCUAGGUGGGAUUAGCUAGUUGGUGAGGUAAUGGCUCACCAAGGCGACGAUCCCUAGCUGUUCUGAGAGGAUGAUCAGCCACACUGGGACUGAGACACGGCCCAGACCCCUACGGGAGGCAGCAGUGGGGAAUAUUGCACAAUGGGGGAAACCCUGAUGCAGCCAUGCCGCGUGUGUGAAGAAGGCCUUCGGGUUGUAAAGCACUUUCAGUAGGGAGGAAAGGGUAAGUCCUAAUACGGCUUAUCUGUGACGUUACCUACAGAAGAAGGACCGGCUAACUCCGUGCCAGCAGCCGCGGUAAUACGGAGGGUCCGAGCGUUAAUCGGAAUUACUGGGCGUAAAGCGUGCGCAGGCGGUUUGUUAAGCGAGAUGUGAAAGCCCUGGGCUCAACCUAGGAAUCGCAUUUCGAACUGACCAACUAGAGUCUUGUAGAGGGGGGUAGAAUUCCAGGUGUAGCGGUGAAAUGCGUAGAGAUCUGGAGGAAUACCGGUGGCGAAGGCGGCCCCCUGGACAAAGACUGACGCUCAUGCACGAAAGCGUGGGGAGCAAACAGGAUUAGAUACCCUGGUAGUCCACGCCGUAAACGAUGUCUACUCGGAGUUUGGUGCCUU
RNAcentral lists this ribosomal RNA (625 nucleotides) under uncultured bacterium. RNAcentral's name for it is "bacterial SSU rRNA". It matches the Rfam family "Bacterial small subunit ribosomal RNA", at positions 216 to 833 of the family's 1533-position model. The record is from RNAcentral. RNAcentral also lists the same sequence under 1 other name.